GUGUCAGCAGCCGCGGUAAUACGGAAGGGGCAAGCGUUGUUCGGAAUCAUUGGGCGUAAAGGGCGCGUAGGUGGUCCUAUGUGUCUACUGUGAAAGCACACGGCUCAACCGUGUCGGGUCGGUAGAAACUGUAGGACUUGAGGCUGGGAGGGGCUGGUGGAAUUCCCUGUGUAGCGGUGAAAUGCGUAGAGAUGGGGGAGAACACUCGUGGCGAAGGCGGCCAGCUGGACCAGUCCUGACACUGAGGCGCGACAGCAUGGGGAGCAAACAGGAUUAGAAACCCCUGUAGUCC
This 292-nucleotide ribosomal RNA is filed under the name uncultured bacterium. RNAcentral's name for it is "partial 16S ribosomal RNA". It matches the Rfam family "Bacterial small subunit ribosomal RNA", at positions 505 to 796 of the family's 1533-position model. The record is from RNAcentral.